AAAUUGAAGAGUUUGAUCAUGGCUCAGAUUGAACGCUGGCGGCAGGCCUAACACAUGCAAGUCGAGCGGUAGCACAGAGAGCUUGCUCUCGGGUGACGAGCGGCGGACGGGUGAGUAAUGUCUGGGAAACUGCCUGAUGGAGGGGGAUAACUACUGGAAACGGUAGCUAAUACCGCAUAACGUCGCAAGACCAAAGUGGGGGACCUUCGGGCCUCAUGCCAUCAGAUGUGCCCAGAUGGGAUUAGCUAGUAGGUGGGGUAAUGGCUCACCUAGGCGACGAUCCCUAGCUGGUCUGAGAGGAUGACCAGCCACACUGGAACUGAGACACGGUCCAGACUCCUACGGGAGGCAGCAGUGGGGAAUAUUGCACAAUGGGCGCAAGCCUGAUGCAGCCAUGCCGCGUGUAUGAAGAAGGCCUUCGGGUUGUAAAGUACUUUCAGCGAGGAGGAAGGCGUUAAGGUUAAUAACCUUGGCGAUUGACGUUACUCGCAGAAGAAGCACCGGCUAACUCCGUGCCAGCAGCCGCGGUAAUACGGAGGGUGCAAGCGUUAAUCGGAAUUACUGGGCGUAAAGCGCACGCAGGCGGUCUGUCAAGUCGGAUGUGAAAUCCCCGGGCUCAACCUGGGAACUGCAUUCGAAACUGGCAGGCUAGAGUCUUGUAGAGGGGGGUAGAAUUCCAGGUGUAGCGGUGAAAUGCGUAGAGAUCUGGAGGAAUACCGGUGGCGAAGGCGGCCCCCUGGACAAAGACUGACGCUCAGGUGCGAAAGCGUGGGGAGCAAACAGGAUUAGAUACCCUGGUAGUCCACGCCGUAAACGAUGUCGACUUGGAGGUUGUGCCCUUGAGGCGUGGCUUCCGGAGCUAACGCGUUAAGUCGACCGCCUGGGGAGUACGGCCGCAAGGUUAAAACUCAAAUGAAUUGACGGGGGCCCGCACAAGCGGUGGAGCAUGUGGUUUAAUUCGAUGCAACGCGAAGAACCUUACCUACUCUUGACAUCCAGAGAACUUAGCAGAGAUGCUUUGGUGCCUUCGGGAACUCUGAGACAGGUGCUGCAUGGCUGUCGUCAGCUCGUGUUGUGAAAUGUUGGGUUAAGUCCCGCAACGAGCGCAACCCUUAUCCUUUGUUGCCAGCGAUUCGGUCGGGAACUCAAAGGAGACUGCCAGUGAUAAACUGGAGGAAGGUGGGGAUGACGUCAAGUCAUCAUGGCCCUUACGAGUAGGGCUACACACGUGCUACAAUGGCAUAUACAAAGAGAAGCGACCUCGCGAGAGCAAGCGGACCUCAUAAAGUAUGUCGUAGUCCGGAUUGGAGUCUGCAACUCGACUCCAUGAAGUCGGAAUCGCUAGUAAUCGUAGAUCAGAAUGCUACGGUGAAUACGUUCCCGGGCCUUGUACACACCGCCCGUCACACCAUGGGAGUGGGUUGCAAAAGAAGUAGGUAGCUUAACCUUCGGGAGGGCGCUUACCACUUUGUGAUUCAUGACUGGGGUGAAGUCGUAACAAGGUAACCGUAGGGGAACCUGCGGUUGGAUCACCUCCUUACCUUAAAGAA
RNAcentral lists this ribosomal RNA (1550 nucleotides) under Klebsiella aerogenes. RNAcentral's name for it is "bacterial SSU rRNA". It matches the Rfam family "Bacterial small subunit ribosomal RNA". Lineage: Bacteria; Pseudomonadati; Pseudomonadota; Gammaproteobacteria; Enterobacterales; Enterobacteriaceae. The record is from RNAcentral.